GAUGAACGCUGGCGGUAUGCUUAACACAUGCAAGUCGAACGGACACAUCGGAGAGAGUGGCGGACGGGUGAGGAACGCGGGAGAAUCUGGCUAUGGGUUCGGGACAACCACAGGAAAGGGUGGCUAAUACGGGAAGGGUAGAGAGGAAAGAGUGAAAUUGCAUGAAGAUGUGCUCGCGUCUGAGUAGCUAGUUGGUGAGGUAAAGGCCCACCAAGGCAGCGAUCAGGAGCUGGUCUGAGAGGAUGACCAGCCACACCUGGACUGGGACACGGCCGAGACUACUACGGGAGGCUGCAGUGAGGACUUUUCCGCAAUGGGCGAGUGCCUGACGGAGCACUUCCGCGUGAGAAAAGAUUGCUCUUGGGUUGUAGACCUCUUUUCUUAGAGAAGAACAAAUUGACGGUACCUAAAGAAGCAGCAUCGGCUAACUCCGUG
RNAcentral lists this ribosomal RNA (435 nucleotides) under uncultured bacterium. RNAcentral describes it as "partial 16S ribosomal RNA". It matches the Rfam family "Bacterial small subunit ribosomal RNA", at positions 28 to 507 of the family's 1533-position model. The record is from RNAcentral.